GACCUGACUGCUAUCGGAUUGAUACUAAGCCAUGCGAGUCUUUGUAGUAAUACAAGGCAGACGGCUCAGUAACACGUAGUCAACCUACCCUAUGGACAAGAAUAAUCUCGGGAAACUGGGCAUAAUUCUUGAUAGAUCAUAAUGCCUGGAAUGGUUUAUGAUUAAAAUGAUUCGUCGCCACAGGAUGGGACUGCGGCCUAUCAGCUUGUUGGUGAGGUAAUGGCCCACCAAGGCGAUUACAGGUACGGGCUCUGAGAGGAGAAGCCCGGAGAUGGGUACUGAGACACGGACCCAGGCCCUAUGGGGCGCAGCAGGCGAGAAAACUUUGCAAUGUGCGAAAGCACGACAAGGUUAAUCCGAGUGAUUUCUGCUAAAGAAAUCUUUUACCAGUCGUAAAACCGCUGGUGAAUAAGGGGUGGGCAAGUUCUGGUGUCAGCCGCCGCGGUAAAACCAGCACCUCAAGUGGUCAGGAUGAUUAUUGGGCCUAAAGCAUCCGUAGCCGGCUUUGUAAGUUUUCGGUUAAAUCCAUGUGCUCAACGCAUGGGCUGCCGAAAAUACUGCAUGGCUAGGGAGUGGGAGAGGUAGACGGUACUCAGUAGGAAGGGGUAAAAUCCUUUGAUCUAUUGAUGACCACCUGUGGCGAAGGCGGUCUACCAGAACACGUUCGACGGUGAGGGAUGAAAGCUGGGGGAGCAAACCGGAUUAGAUACCCGGGUAGUCCCAGCUGUAAACGAUGCAGACUCGAUGAUGCAUUGGCAUAAUGGCCAGUGCAGUGUCGCAGGGAAGCCGUUAAGUCUGCCGCCUGGGAAGUACGUACGCAAGUAUGAAACUUAAAGGAAUUGGCGGGGGAGCACCACAAGGGGUGAAGCCUGCGGUUCAAU
This 881-nucleotide ribosomal RNA is filed under the name uncultured marine group I thaumarchaeote. Its description in RNAcentral is "SSU rRNA". It matches the Rfam family "Archaeal small subunit ribosomal RNA", at positions 20 to 906 of the family's 1478-position model. The record is from RNAcentral. Lineage: Archaea; Thermoproteati; Nitrososphaerota.